GACGAACGCUGGCGGCGUGCUUAACACAUGCAAGUCGAACGGAAAGGCCCUGCUUUUGUGGGGUUCUCGAGUGGCGAACGGGUGAGUAACACGUGAGUAACCUGCCCUUGACUUUGGGAUAACUUCAGGAAACUGGGGCUAAUACCGGAUAUGAGCUCCUGCUGCAUGGUGGGGGUUGGAAAGUUUCGGCGGUUGGGGAUGGACUCGCGGCUUAUCAGCUUGUUGGUGGGGUAGUGGCUUACCAAGGCUUUGACGGGUAGCCGGCCUGAGAGGGCGACCGGCCACAUUGGGACUGAGAUACGGCCCAGACUCCUACGGGAGGCAGCAGUGGGGAAUAUUGCACAAUGGGCGGAAGCCUGAUGCAGCAACGCCGGGUGCGGGAUGACGGCCUUCGGGUUGUAAACCGCUUUCGCCUGUGACGAAGCGUGAGUGACGGUAAUGGGUAAAGAAGCACCGGCUAAAUACGUG
RNAcentral lists this ribosomal RNA (468 nucleotides) under uncultured bacterium. RNAcentral describes it as "partial 16S ribosomal RNA". It matches the Rfam family "Bacterial small subunit ribosomal RNA", at positions 28 to 507 of the family's 1533-position model. The record is from RNAcentral.